Molecule: ribosomal RNA, 253 nt
Filed under: uncultured bacterium
Lineage: Bacteria
Description: partial 16S ribosomal RNA
Rfam family: Bacterial small subunit ribosomal RNA
Source: RNAcentral
UACGUAGGGGGCAAGCGUUGUCCGGAAUCAUUGGGCGUAAAGCGCGUGUAGGCGGUUCGGUAAGUCUGCUGUGAAAGUCCAGGGCUCAACCCGGGGAUGCCGGUGGAUACUGUCGGACUAGAGUACGGAAGAGGUGAGUGGAACUCCUGGUGUAGCGGUGAAAUGCGCAGAUAUCAGGAAGAACACCAAUGGCGAAGGCAGCUCACUGGGACGGUACUGACGCUGAGACGCGAAAGCGUGGGGAGCAAACAGG